Non-coding RNA from Trichonephila clavipes, 70 nucleotides. Lineage: Eukaryota; Metazoa; Arthropoda; Arachnida; Araneae; Nephilidae. The record is from the annotation of a GenBank genome assembly.
GUUGUAGAGCAAUGGGUAGCGCGUUGGACUUCUAAUCCAAGGGUUGUGGGGUCGAAUCCUACUUGGAAUG